RNAcentral lists this ribosomal RNA (459 nucleotides) under uncultured bacterium. RNAcentral describes it as "partial 16S ribosomal RNA". It matches the Rfam family "Bacterial small subunit ribosomal RNA", at positions 338 to 795 of the family's 1533-position model. The record is from RNAcentral.
CCUACGGGAGGCAGCAGUGAGGAAUAUUGGUCAAUGGGCGCGAGCCUGAACCAGCCAAGUAGCGUGAAGGAUGACUGCCCUACGGGUUGUAAACUUCUUUUGUCGGGGAACAAAGGCGGAGACGCGUCUCCGGAUGAGGGUACCCGAAGAAAAAGCAUCGGCUAACUCCGUGCCAGCAGCCGCGGUAAUACGGAGGAUGCGAGCGUUUGCCGGAUUUCUUGGGUUUAAGGGGUGCGCAGGGGGGAGAUCAAGUCAGCGGUAAAAUGUCGGGGCUCAACCCCGGCCGGCCGUUGAAACUGGUUUUCUAGAGUUGGAGAGAAGUAUGCGGAAUUCGUGGUGUAGCGGUGAAAUGCAUAGAUAUCACGAAGAACUCCGAUUGCGAAGGCAGCAUACCGGCUCCAUACUGACGCUGAGGCACGAAAGCGUGGGGAUCGAACAGGAUUAGAUACCCCAGUAGUC